Molecule: ribosomal RNA, 600 nt
Filed under: uncultured bacterium
Lineage: Bacteria
Description: bacterial SSU rRNA
Rfam family: Bacterial small subunit ribosomal RNA
Source: RNAcentral
AGCCUCUGGCCCGUGAUUGACGCUGAGGCUCGAAAGCGCGGGUAUCGAACAGGAUUAGAUACCCUGGUAGUCCGCGCUGUAAACGAUGGAUACUCGUUUUCGGCGACAUACUGUCGGAAACUGAGCGAAAGCAUUAAGUAUCCCACCUGGGGAGUACGCCGGCAACGGUGAAACUCAAAGGAAUUGACGGGGGCCCGCACAAGCGGAGGAACAUGUGGUUUAAUUCGAUGAUACGCGAGGAACCUUACCCGGAUUUGAAUUGUGCCUGACGAGGAGCCGAGAAGCUCCGUCCCUUCGGGGCAGGUAUGAAGGUGCUGCAUGGUUGUCGUCAGCUCGUGCCGUGAGGUGUCGGCUUAAGUGCCAUAACGAGCGCAACCCCUGCCGUCAGUUGCCAUCAGGUAAUGCUGGGCACUCUGUCGGGACUGCCAUCGCAAGAUGUGAGGAGGGUGGGGAUGACGUCAAAUCAGCACGGCCCUUACGUCCGGGGCUACACACGUGUUACAAUGGGGGGCACAGCGAGCAGCUUGCCGGCGACGGUUGGCCAAUCUUUAAAUCCCCUCUCAGUUCGGACUGGAGUCUGCAACCCGACUCCACGAAGCU